UGCUUCUCAGGGUGGCACCUGGAGAGUUCCCAGUCCUCUCCCAGUCUCGACUACGGGAGGGAGAGUGAAGCAGAGGCCUAACCCAUUCCAUUCCUAGCUUGGCCAGUGGCUAGCGAGUGGAAGGCCAACUGCUACAAAU
This is a small nucleolar RNA of Ornithorhynchus anatinus (platypus), 139 nucleotides long. The record is from RefSeq and is a predicted model, not a curated record. NCBI's taxonomy places the organism in Eukaryota, Metazoa, Chordata, Mammalia, Monotremata, Ornithorhynchidae.